UACGUAGGGCGCAAGCGUUAUCCGGAAUUAUUGGGCGUAAAGAGCUCGUAGGCGGUUUGUCGCGUCUGCCGUGAAAGUCCGGGGCUCAACUCCGGAUCUGCGGUGGGUACGGGGCAGACUAGAGUGAUGUAGGGGGAGACUGGAAUUCCUGGUGUAGCGGUGAAAUGCGCAGAUAAUCAGGAGGAACACCGAUGGCGAAGGCAGGUCUCUGGGCAUUAACUGACGCUGAGGGGCGAAAAGCAUGGGGAGCGAACAGG
This 257-nucleotide ribosomal RNA is filed under the name uncultured bacterium. RNAcentral describes it as "partial 16S ribosomal RNA". It matches the Rfam family "Bacterial small subunit ribosomal RNA", at positions 524 to 776 of the family's 1533-position model. The record is from RNAcentral.